Mobula hypostoma (lesser devil ray) is the source of this 1748-nucleotide long non-coding RNA. RefSeq lists it as uncharacterized. The transcript has 4 exons. The record is from RefSeq and is a predicted model, not a curated record. Lineage: Eukaryota; Metazoa; Chordata; Chondrichthyes; Myliobatiformes; Myliobatidae.
UUGAAGGGAAAGGAGGCGGCUCCAUCGAAAUUGUGCCGUCGGCCACCUAAAUGCUCAAGCGGAUUGUCCGCGGCGCUGAGGAAGAAGGCGGCUGUGGUCGGCGUGAUGUUUGCUGGAGGGAAACCGAGCUGAACGUGAACCACGGCGACCUGGCAAUUGUGGACGUCGCUGCCAAACGACCCAGACCGGGAAAUGUUUAAAAGGACAGGAUGCAGCUGCGUCAAAUUGUGCUGUCAGAGAAAUCAUCGAAGUCCCAAUUUGUGGCGCUCUGGAAGAAGGCAGCUCUCGUUGCAGUGAUGUCUGCGGGCAAUCCGAAGAGAAACCGAGUGGCACCUGAACCACAAAGAUGUGGAAAUCUGGACAUUGGUGCAAAUGUAUGACGCUGGCCAGGAAACAUUUGAAUGGCAAGGAGGCAGCUCUGUAGAAGUUGUACCAUCGUUCAUCUAAAUCCUCAAAGUCACAUUUGGUGGUGCUGUGGAAGAAGGUGGCUGUCAUCGGGGUGACGUUUGCUGGAGGGAAACUGAGCUGCACGUGAACCACGAUGAUCUGUCAAUUCUGGACAUCGCUGUGAACAUACGACGUUUGACUGUUAGAUUGCGUGGGCUUUGGGGGAGAAGGCACGAAGAGGAUGAAGAGAGAAGACAUAGCUUGAGGAGACGGUUGCCGGACCCACUGGGCCUGGACUCGGGGAGGGAGCCCAGGAGUCGACAAUGAGUGAAGGAGGAUCAGCGAAAGGGAAUCCGUGAGCUCCAACGUUUGUGCACUGGACAUGUUUAUGAGAUUAUUGGGGCCUUUUAUUUGUUUUCCUUUUCUUUUAUUUCUCUACUAACCCCAUACUUUUUUUAAUACUUUAUUUGCAAUUUUCUGUUUUACAAAGACAAAAUAUAUUCAAGGCGUACAAAACAGUACAAAGGAAAUACAGCUCCAGGUGGUGCACAGACAAAACAAAUCAAAAACAAAAAGGCUGCCAGAUAAUUUACAAGAUUACAUAAAUAAACUUUCAGAAAAAGAGUUGACACAAUAGUGACAUCAUGGAAGCAAUGUAAAGUAAAAUGAAUAAAGGAAUCCGGUUGGGCACCACACCCACUCAUGAGACUAGACAAGUCAAGGUCACUACGUAUGUGAGGUAUAUGACACUGAGCCAAUAAGGGUACCCAUAUUCUCUGAAAUAUAUUCUGUGUAUUGGGUUUGUGCAGACGCAGUCUUUCCAUUUGUAUAACAGACAACAUCUCCUUGAGCCAGUGUGCGAAGGUGGGUGGAGUAGUAGACUUCCAGGACAGAAGAAUAAGUUUCUUAGCCACCACCAUUCCUAGAUGCAGAGCAAUCUGCAAAGUCUCUGUAGAGCAUCCAAAGAUGGCGAGAUGGUGAUUGGGCUGAAUGUCUCGAGAAUAGACUUUUGAAAGCCACUCAAAAAUUGCAGUCCAAAAGUUGUAUAAUGUAGGGCAAAACCAGAAAAGAUGUGCUAGUGAGCCCUCAGCAGAGCAGCGCUGAUCGCAUGCAGGAGACACAGAUGGGAAGCUGCGAUUCAGUUUUGUUUUUGAAUAAUGCAAUCUAUGCAUCACCUUGUACCGGAUUAACCUGUAGCGUGAAGUAAUAGAACAACAGUGAACCCAGGACAUUGCCUCCUCCCAAAGUUCUACUAAUAUCUCUGAGUUCAAGUCCCUGGCCCAGGCUUCCCUAAUAAGAUCUGUAGAAACCAAAGGAGUAAAGCAAUUCACAAAUUUUGAUAUUAACUGUUCGGAGUCUGG